This 1404-nucleotide long non-coding RNA is filed under the name Rosa chinensis. RNAcentral's name for it is "sRNA RchiOBHm_Chr4g0441221". Lineage: Eukaryota; Viridiplantae; Streptophyta; Magnoliopsida; Rosales; Rosaceae. The record is from RNAcentral.
CGACCUCACCUCCGCUAUACUAAACAUCUCCCUCUCCGAAUUCCCCGUCAUUCCCUCAAGCGCAUGCCCGUAUAUCACGUACACCCUGUCCUCCGCUGCCACGGCCACCGAGGUCGGAAACCUCUCCACUUCAAGCUGCGUCUUGUCAAAAACCGCACCCUCUCCCCAGCUGUCUUGGCUCUUAAGAAACCACAUUUUAUUCAUGGAAACCACCACAACGGUCCCGUCUCGUCGGACAGCAAUCCCGUCGGCCAGAGGCAAGUCCUCCGGCAGCAGCACCUCCCUGGCGGUUCCGUCCUCCGCGUCCACCUUGAACAGCUUCCCGGUGUUGGAUUGCACCACCAGUAGAUACCCCUUGCUGACGUAAGCAAUGCCGUUGAGGCCGCAGAAGCUAAAGGGCGAGUCGGGGUCCACAGGAUGCGCAGAGAAUAGCGGGGACUUGGAGAGGACGGAGGCCGCGCCGUCGGAGUUGACUUUCCAGAUGAAGUUCGCCGCCGAGUUGGUGACGUAGGCGUUGCCCUUGAAAUCCACGGCGACGUCGUUGGCGAUCUGGCGGGAGGCGUCGCCGUCGGCGGAGGGGAGGGGCGUGAGGAAGAGGCGGCGGCGCGUACGGAGGUCGUAGGCGGCGAGGGCGCUGAAGUGAGGGAGCGGCGAGGAGGCUUGGACGGCGGCGAGGAGGCGGUUGUUGACGGCGUCGACGGCGAGGCCGAGGAAGGUGACGUUUUCGGGGAGAGUGGGGUCGGAGAUGAGAAGGUCGGUUACGCCGGCGUCGGAGACGGAGUAGAUGGUGCGUUGGCGGAUGGCGCCGACGAUGAAGUGCUGGGCUGAGGGGUCGUAGGCGAGGCCUUCGGGGUAGAGAUUUGGGGAUCGGAAAUUGAUGACGUGAGGCUUGCUUGCUUGGGUUUGGAUCGGGAUUGAGCUCAGCAAAAUGAAAACAACAAGGACGGAGGAGGCGAUUGAACAAGUCAUGGUGUUCGCAGCUCAGUAUCGGAGGCUCAUGAAGAGAUUUAUUAUUUAUAGAAAAGGGGGUUUUCUUGCCUAGGAAUCCACUCGCAGCCGGCCGGAGUUUUGACUUUGAUUUCUUGUCAAACGGAGAACGACGACUGGUUUCAGAAAGCUUAGAGAUCGUUUGAUUCGUUUUCCGAAACACAUGCUAAACAGCCCGUUAUUCAUACUGUCCAUCAGAAAAGCCCGGCCCACCUAGCGUAACGGUCCAAAUCCAAACCCGAAACCCAAGUUAGUAUCUCUGUCUAUAAUAUUAAUGAAAUUUGAAUCUGUAUCAUCUACGGUGUCAGUUAUUCUAAAUAAUUAAUUGGUCGUCAUUGCUAUUUUAAAUUGUAGUUCACUUCAAAACAACUUGGGCUAUAACAUUUUGCAACAUUCAGAGUAAGUAUUGUAUGAUCG